GUGAAAUCCGCCAUUCAGCAAGUGCUGUUUCAUCUUUUGCUUUUUCUGUUAAGUCUUUGUAUUCUUCCAGAGUAAGUUGAACAGUACUGCUAUUGUCUGUUCUUGAAUUGUUGACAACUCCAAGUGCUUCUGCUUCUGAUGCUCCAAAAGCUUCCAAUUCCAUCUCUACAGCUUGGAGUUUGAGUUGUAAUGUUCUUAGAUUCUGCUUCCUCAUCCGCAGGACUUGUUUCAGUUUCGAUCUCGCUCUUCGUUCUUCCUCCGUGUCCCGUUUGUUCAUCGAUGGUCUUCU
This 289-nucleotide unclassified non-coding RNA is filed under the name Hevea brasiliensis (rubber tree). Lineage: Eukaryota; Viridiplantae; Streptophyta; Magnoliopsida; Malpighiales; Euphorbiaceae. The record is from RNAcentral.